This 497-nucleotide ribosomal RNA is filed under the name uncultured bacterium. Its description in RNAcentral is "partial 16S ribosomal RNA". It matches the Rfam family "Bacterial small subunit ribosomal RNA", at positions 28 to 507 of the family's 1533-position model. The record is from RNAcentral.
GACGAACGCUGGCGGCGUGCCUAAUACAUGCAAGUUGAGCGAUGAAGCUUGGUGCUUGCACCAAUUUGAAGAGCAGCGAACGGGUGAGUAACGCGUGGGGAAUCUGCCUUUGAGCGGGGGACAACAUUUGGAAACGAAUGCUAAUACCGCAUAACAACUUUAAACAUAAGUUUUAAGUUUGAAAGAUGCAAUUGCAUCACUCAAAGAUGAUCCCGCGUUGUAUUAGCUAGUUGGUGAGGUAAAGGCUCACCAAGGUGAUGAUACAUAGCCGACCUGAGAGGGUGAUCGGCCACAUUGGGACUGAGACACGGCCCAAACUCCUACGGGAGGCAGCAGUAGGGAAUCUUCGGCAAUGGACGAAAGUCUGACCGAGCAACGCCGCGUGAGUGAAGAAGGUUUUCGGAUCGUAAAACUCUGUUGGUAGAGAAGAACGUUGGUGAGAGUGGAAAGCUCAUCAAGUGACGGUAACUACCCAGAAAGGGACGGCUAACUACGUG